Molecule: ribosomal RNA, 1371 nt
Filed under: Ambrosiodmus compressus
Lineage: Eukaryota; Metazoa; Arthropoda; Insecta; Coleoptera; Curculionidae
Description: partial 16S ribosomal RNA
Source: RNAcentral
UUCUUGAAAAUUAAUAAAGAUGGCGGUAUUUUAGUCUGUUCAGAGGAAUCUGCCCUAUAAUUGAUAUUCCACGAUUUAAUUUACUUGGGUUUUUAGUUUAUAUAUCGCUGUGGAUUAAAUAUUUUUGCUGAAUUUUAAUAUUUAUGAUUUUGUGAGAAAGGAUUUCAAGUCAAGAUGUAGCUUAUAUCCAAGAAGAGGUGGAUUACAAUAUUUUUAUUUUUGGUUAAUAGUUUGAAAUGAUUAUUAUAAAUUGGAUUUGAAGGUAAUUUUUUAUUAAGAUUUUAAAAAUGAUUUAAGCUCUAAAAUAUGUACAUAUCGCCCGUCGCUUUCACUAUAAAGUGGAAUAAGUCGUAACAUAGUAGAGGUACUGGAAAGUGCCUCUAGAAGGCGGAUUAAAGCUUUAAGAAGCGUUUUAUUUACAUUAAAGAGAUUGUUUUAAAUAGAUGUAGUUUGAAAGAUUAGCUAUCUAUUUAUUGAAAUAAGAUUUUAUUUAAAGGAAGUAUAUUUAAUUUUAGUAGGUUUACAGGAAAAAAUUAAUUUAGAUAUAGAGAACUAGUAUUGUAAAAGAAAACUUUUAUUGUGGGAAAAGAAGAAGUGGGAUUUUGUACCUGGGGUAUCAGGGUUUACUAAAAAUGGGCUAUGGGUUUAGUUUUCUCGAAUUUAAAAGAGCUAUUUAAUUAGGUAUUUUAUUGUGGCAAAAAUAUUUAUAAUAGUUAAAUAGGGGUGAAAUAUCAAUCGAUUUUAAAUAUAUCUAGUUUUUUAAGAAAAAAAUUUAAUUUUUCUUUAUUUUAUCAUUUUUCUUAAUUUUUAGUUAAAUGAUUAGGUAAUGUAAAUAGUUUAAGGGUUGAGCUUUGAACUGAAUCUAUAAAAUAAUUUUUUAAUCGUGGGCAGAUUAGUAGAAUUUGAAGUUUUUGUUUUAAGUGAUUUAUAUCUUGAUUGCUUUUUAAUAUGAUUUGUUAAAAUUAUUUAUGUUUUUUAUUAAAAUUUAAAUUUUAAUAAAAAAAGUUUAGAAAAAAUGGUAAAAUUAGUAUAAUUUAUAUUAAAUUUUUAAAUAUAGUUUAGGUUUAAUAAAGGAAUUCGGCAAAUAUAUUUCUCACCUGUUUAUUAAAAACAUGGCUUUUUGAUAAUAAUUUAAGGUCUAACCUGCCCAAUGAUUAAAUUAAAUGGCUGCAGUAUUCUGACUGUACAAAGGUAGCAUAAUCAUUAGUUUUUUAAUUGGAAGCUUGUAUGAAAGGUUGAAUGAAGAAAUUUCUGUCUCGGUUAAAAUUUUUUAGAAUUUUAUUAUUUAGUAAGAAGGCUGAAAUUAUUAUGAAAGACGAGAAGACCCUAUAGAGUUUUAUAGUUUUAGCAUGAAUAACAAUUGGGAUUCUA